Molecule: ribosomal RNA, 744 nt
Filed under: bacterium 133_xplvp560
Lineage: Bacteria
Also listed under: 1 other name
Description: bacterial SSU rRNA
Rfam family: Bacterial small subunit ribosomal RNA
Source: RNAcentral
ACACAUGCAGUCGACGAUGAACCACUUCGGUGGGGAUUAGUGGCGAACGGGUGAGUAACACGUGGGCAAUCUGCCCUUCACUCUGGGACAAGCCCUGGAAACGGGGUCUAAUACCGGAUAUCACUUCCACUCGCAUGGGUGGAGGUCGAAAGCUCCGGCGGUGAAGGAUGAGCCCGCGGCCUAUCAGCUUGUUGGUGAGGUAAUGGCUCACCAAGGCGACGACGGGUAGCCGGCCUGAGAGGGCGACCGGCCACACUGGGACUGAGACACGGCCCAGACUCCUACGGGAGGCAGCAGUGGGGAAUAUUGCACAAUGGGCGAAAGCCUGAUGCAGCGACGCCGCGUGAGGGAUGACGGCCUUCGGGUUGUAAACCUCUUUCAGCAGGGAAGAAGCGAAAGUGACGGUACCUGCAGAAGAAGCGCCGGCUAACUACGUGCCAGCAGCCGCGGUAAUACGUAGGGCGCAAGCGUUGUCCGGAAUUAUUGGGCGUAAAGAGCUCGUAGGCGGUCUGUCACGUCGGAUGUGAAAGCCCGGGGCUUAACCCCGGGUCUGCAUUCGAUACGGGCAGACUAGAGUGUGGUAGGGGAGAUCGGAAUUCCUGGUGUAGCGGUGAAAUGCGCAGAUAUCAGGAGGAACACCGGUGGCGAAGGCGGAUCUCUGGGCCAUUACUGACGCUGAGGAGCGAAAGCGUGGGGAGCGAACAGGAUUAGAUACCCUGGUAGUCCACGCCGUAAACGGUGGGA